RNAcentral lists this ribosomal RNA (1412 nucleotides) under metagenome. Its description in RNAcentral is "bacterial LSU rRNA". It matches the Rfam family "Bacterial large subunit ribosomal RNA", at positions 1532 to 2925 of the family's 2925-position model. The record is from RNAcentral.
CCAGGCAAAUCCGGGAUCACUUACGCCGAGCACCGAGACGAGUCCUAUGAGGACGAAGUGACUGACACCACGCUUCCAGGAAAAGCCACUAAGCUUCAGCUUAAGAAAAACCGUACCGCAAACCGACACAGGUAGGCAGGGUGAGAAUCCCAAGGCGCUUGAGAGAACUCGGGUGAAGGAACUAGGCAAAAUGGCACCGUAACUUCGGGAGAAGGUGCGCCCUUUGGUGUGGUCACGUGCGUGACUGAGCAUCGAAGGGUCGCAGUAACCUGGCCGCUGCGACUGUUUAUCAAAAACACAGCACUCUGCAAACACGAAAGUGGACGUAUAGGGUGUGACGCCUGCCCGGUGCUGGAAGGUUAAUUGAUGGGGUCAGCCGCAAGGCGAAGCUCUUGAUCGAAGCCCCAGUAAACGGCGGCCGUAACUAUAACGGUCCUAAGGUAGCGAAAUUCCUUGUCGGGUAAGUUCCGACCUGCACGAAUGGCGUAACGACAGCGGCGCUGUCUCCACCCGAGACUCAGUGAAAUUGAAAUCGCUGUGGAGAUGCAGCGUUCCCGCGGCAAGACGGAAAGACCCCGUGAACCUUUACUAUAGCUUUACACUGAACGUUGAGUUCUUCUGUGUAGGAUAGGUGGGAGGCUAUGAAACCAGGACGCUAGUUCUGGUGGAGCCAUCCUUGAAAUACCACCCUGAAGUGCUUGACGUUCUAACCUAGGCCCGUAAUCCGGGUCAGGGACCGUGUAUGGUGGGUAGUUUGACUGGGGCGGUCUCCUCCCAAAGAGUAACGGAGGAGCACGAAGGUACGCUCAGCGCGGUCGGACAUCGCGCACUGUGUGCAAAGGCAUAAGCGUGCUUGACUGCGAGAUCGACGGAUCAAGCAGGUACGAAAGUAGGUCUUAGUGAUCCGGUGGUUCUGUAUGGAAGGGCCAUCGCUCAACGGAUAAAAGGUACUCCGGGGAUAACAGGCUGAUACCGCCCAAGAGUUCAUAUCGACGGCGGUGUUUGGCACCUCGAUGUCGGCUCAUCACAUCCUGGGGCUGUAGCCGGUCCCAAGGGUAUGGCUGUUCGCCAUUUAAAGUGGUACGCGAGCUGGGUUCAGAACGUCGUGAGACAGUUCGGUCCCUAUCUGUCGUGGGCGUUGGAGAUUUGAGGGGGGCUGCUCCUAGUACGAGAGGACCGGAGUGGACGUUCCGCUGGUGUUCGGGUUGUCAUGCCCAUGGCAUUGCCCGGUAGCUACGAACGGAAGUGAUAACCGCUGAAAGCAUCUAAGCGGGAAGCACGCCCCAAGAUGAGAUCUCCCGAGAGCUUGACUCUCCUAAAGGCACCAUCAAGACUAGGUGGUUGAUAGGUCAGGUGUGGAAGCGCAGCAAUGCGUUGAGCUAACUGAUACUAAUGAGCCGUGAGGCUUGAUC